CUUAUGGUAUGUGAAUUCUAUCUCAAUGAAAGAGUAAUGUUUAAGAAAAAUUAUCUGGCUCCCUCGGCGUCAUGUCUUUGGUGCCGGCGGCUUCUUGUCCACCGGUUCUAUCCUCAAGCACCGAGACACCU
RNAcentral lists this small nucleolar RNA (131 nucleotides) under Carlito syrichta (Philippine tarsier). Its description in RNAcentral is "Small nucleolar RNA SNORA57 (ENSTSYG00000020273.2)". It matches the Rfam family "Small nucleolar RNA SNORA57". From Rfam's summary of the family: U99 belongs to the H/ACA class of snoRNAs which are thought to guide the sites of modification of uridines to pseudouridines, the target for this family is unknown. The record is from Rfam by way of RNAcentral. Lineage: Eukaryota; Metazoa; Chordata; Mammalia; Primates; Tarsiidae.